This 206-nucleotide long non-coding RNA is filed under the name Lathyrus oleraceus (garden pea). RNAcentral describes it as "Pisum sativum (pea) long non-coding RNA (PSAT_LNC025555)". The record is from RNAcentral. Lineage: Eukaryota; Viridiplantae; Streptophyta; Magnoliopsida; Fabales; Fabaceae.
UCAUACUGUAUUUCUUACUACAUUUUUUCUGUAUGAAUUUACUUCUUCCACUUCAAAGGACAAAACUCGGGUCUUCUUGUAUUUAAUUACCGUUCACUAUGAACGCAUGAAGACCACUGUCGUUUCUGCUUUCUAGUUCACUGUAAUUAAAUAGGGGCAGCUGUCAUACCCCAAUUUUGUCCGGGCAUUUUAAAGUUUUGGUCAAG